GUCCUUCAUGACAAUAAAAUCUUGAAAGAAACACAUCACAUUUUAAGAAGCAAAAUUGCUAUAAAAAGUCUGAGUAGUGAAUUCAAAUAAAAUAAAUCCAAUAUUGUACACACAAUGACACCAAAAGAUUUAAAAUAUUGCAAAUAAUAAUCCAAAAUGAGAAUCUUGAAGGGUCAUGUGAAGAAAAGAACAACAUAUCCCUCUGAAAAUUUAAACUGUAAACACCUGAGCAGCUAUUUCUUGUUUCACUGGCAGCUGGACAAUACUAUGUAUAAGGGUUAGAAUUUUAAAGAAGCAUUUUGGUGUAAAAACAGUUUAAAUUUUCAAACAAAUUAAUACAUAUUUAUUUUAAUCUUUUACUGAUUUAGAAUUUUAGGUAAAAAAUAGAUAAAUCAUAUAUAUCAGGGAUUUAAAACAAUGAAAACCAAAACUAUUUUCUUCCCUAUCAAUUUUUAAUAGAAUAAUCCUAGGUAAGAAAAUCUUCAGGAAAAAAGCAUGCUGAAACUUUGGGUUAGGUGAAUAAAAAUCUGUACAGG
This 536-nucleotide long non-coding RNA is filed under the name Mytilus galloprovincialis (Mediterranean mussel). Lineage: Eukaryota; Metazoa; Mollusca; Bivalvia; Mytilida; Mytilidae. The record is from RNAcentral.